GAUGAGACUCACUCAGCAGAGGGAAUUUAAUGACAGAACCAAUUCUUGAAGUAUAGAGGUUGUGAUCUUGCCUUUCUUUCCAUUACAAAUAUUUUUCCUCAUGUCUAUUUCAGCUAAGGCUUUUAUAUUAGUGGACUGCUAAACUCGUGUAGAAUAGUAACAAGACCAUACUAAUCGAUAAAUCAUAUAGUAUGAUAAUGUAGUGGCG
This 208-nucleotide unclassified non-coding RNA is filed under the name Hevea brasiliensis (rubber tree). The record is from RNAcentral. Lineage: Eukaryota; Viridiplantae; Streptophyta; Magnoliopsida; Malpighiales; Euphorbiaceae.